Cynocephalus volans (Philippine flying lemur) is the source of this 300-nucleotide long non-coding RNA. RefSeq lists it as uncharacterized. Lineage: Eukaryota; Metazoa; Chordata; Mammalia; Dermoptera; Cynocephalidae. The transcript is spliced from 4 exons. The record is from RefSeq and is a predicted model, not a curated record.
GAGUAGGGGUGAUCAUCUCAUUGAGAAGUAUACGGUGCAAAAAAGUUUUUCAAAACACUUCAGGAUAAAUAACAGAUGAAUUCUUAAAACUGUUAAUCUCUGAUAUCUGUAAAGAUUACUCAGAGAACCUUUUACUCUCCUAUAAAGGAAAAAAAAACUUAAAAUGGAUAUGAGAAGUGAAGAAAUUGACCAUAGGAGAAAAUCAUCUCAGAUCCUGCUGCUAUUUCUAUCGCUUAACUCUUUACAUGGAGUCUGUUUCCAUGUCUGCACGUGAAUUCCUUUCUCAGAUCUAGCCAAGUG